This is a non-coding RNA of Arachis ipaensis, 1809 nucleotides long. The record is from RefSeq and is a predicted model, not a curated record. NCBI's taxonomy places the organism in Eukaryota, Viridiplantae, Streptophyta, Magnoliopsida, Fabales, Fabaceae.
UAUGUUUUCAAAUUCACUUUAACCCUAAAGAAGUCGUCGAAACCCAGCAAUAGCUCGCCUUCAUGUUCAUCACAUCCCUUCAUCUAACCCUCGCACCUAGCCCUCUCUCUGUCACACCCUAAAUGGCAUUGUUUUGAAUUAAAAAAAAUAAAAAAUAUUAAUUUUGAAACCUAACAACCCCAGAUUCAGUUCGUCCUACUUCCUCCUCACUCCCACUACCAGUAGCAGCUCCGGCCCAGCAACGUUCUUUGCCACUAUCGUCGGCGUUGACACAGACGGCGACGCUCACCUCGCCUGGGUCCCUCUGGCUUAUUGCUACUACUACAUCUCUAUCGCUGAAUUGCUGCCCAAAAAUCGCCUGUGGCAUCGCCUCUCUAAUAUCCAUCGAAUGACGCCUCUGCUUGCUUCUUCGACGAUGUCAUCGACGACUGAUGCAGGUUGUAGAUUGAAGAGGAACAAUGUCUGCUCAUUCAAGUUUUUUGGUUGUAAAAACCACUCUGUCUUUCUUUUUCUUUUCUAUUUUUUAAAGCUCUGUGGAAUUGUGUGUUAACUUAAUGUGAUAUUUGGAUAAUACCAAGUUCAAAUGGAAGCAUGCUUGGUAAGAUGUGAGCAGCAGUAAUGUAACUAUAAAUGGUUUUGCCAUUUUGAAAAAAAAAAGUAAGUUAAAUAUGUUGAUAGUUUUUUGGUGUUUAAAGUAUUUUCUUUUUGAAGUUUUAUUGUUUGGAAAUGUUACUUAAGAAAUUCUUUUGUUGUAUUGCCAUGUGAUAGUCUUUGAGAAACUAAGAAUUGAAAUUCUGCUACGUAUGAAGUCGGGUUUACUAAUUUUAUUUUUUGCUUUAACAUUAUUGUUUAGGAUAAGUUCACUAGAUUGCUUGAUAGGAGCAAAGAAAGUCCUAAAGCAGUAAAGCAACUUACUCGUCUUUUUCCCAAUAGGGUGCCAAUACAACUUCCUAAGCUAAUCAGUUACUGUGGGAUGGUUCUGGAGGAGAUGACUUUGACAAGAUUACAGUUAAUUGUCUCGGCUCUUACAUGAGAUUACCACACAUGCUGGCAUUCUAUAAACAAAGCUUGGGGCCAAUCCAGCAGCAUUACUUGGUCUUUCUUUUCCGGUGUAGAAAAAAUCAUUAGCUGGAAUAUAAGUCACCAUUUUAUGCAUUUGGCUGAAGGUUUUGUCGAAGACUCUAAGCUUGUGAUAUCUGCAGAAAGCUGGUUCUAAUAAUUUUUAUAUAUUUCCCUCCUAUUGACGUUAAGAAAAUUAAGCAGUAAAACAAAUAGAAUUAUGUGAACUUAAGUUCACCUGUAAACACUAUUUUACAUUUUAUAUGAACUUAAAUUCAUCUUGUAACACUUAUUUUACAUUUUAUUGGUUCAGCCUUAAGUAUGGGCUGAACAUUCUCCAGGACAUUGAAGGUGGAAACAAGAAUUCAAAAAAAUCGCUGAAGGAUGUGGUUAUUGAGAAUGAAUUUGAGAAAAACUGCUUGCUGAUGUGAUUCCUCCAAGUGAUAUUGGGGUCACUUUUGAUGAUAUUAGGACUUUAGAAAAUGUGAAGGACACCUUGAAGGAGUUGGUUAUUCCUCUAUAGAGACCUAAACUCUUUAGCAAAGGACAGGUGGCUAAGCCCUGCAAGGGAAUACUACUCUUUGACCCCCUUGAUACUGGAAAGACAAUGUUUGCGAAGGCUGUAGCAACCGAGGCUCGAGCCAACUUUAUUAACAUUUCAAUGUCUAGCAUUACUUCAAUAGUGUGUUUUAGAUGUUGUAAAUUUUACUUUGCAAAGUGAUGACUUUGCAGUAAAUUUCUUUUCUUUUC